UUGCUCUUCGGCACAUUUUAAUACUUACCUUGUGGGGUCCCUGGGAGAAAUGUAAAAGAUCGGCUCUAAAUUCUUGCCCAAGUGAUCGCCACGGAGCAUGUGCUCAAAAAAAGUCAGCGUGACUCAGA
Molecule: non-coding RNA, 128 nt
Organism: Ceratotherium simum simum (southern white rhinoceros)
Lineage: Eukaryota; Metazoa; Chordata; Mammalia; Perissodactyla; Rhinocerotidae
Source: RefSeq, a predicted model, not a curated record